RNAcentral lists this long non-coding RNA (225 nucleotides) under Capsella rubella. Its description in RNAcentral is "long non-coding RNA (CRUB_LNC004168)". Lineage: Eukaryota; Viridiplantae; Streptophyta; Magnoliopsida; Brassicales; Brassicaceae. The record is from RNAcentral.
AGUACAACUUAUAUAUAUUGAUAAAUUUGCACGAUUUUAACAUUUGAGAAAACAAACAAAUAAUGGGAAACAAUUUAUAAAAAAAAAAAAAAAAAUCUUCUUUGGAAUCAUUAAACCAUAGUAAAAAACAAAUAUUUGUCCCGAUUUGUUUAUACUUUAUGGAAAUCUCACAUUCACAUCCAUACAAGUAUAUGUCAUAUACCCCAAAAAACAGUUUUACAAAAG